RNAcentral lists this ribosomal RNA (497 nucleotides) under uncultured bacterium. RNAcentral describes it as "bacterial SSU rRNA". It matches the Rfam family "Bacterial small subunit ribosomal RNA", at positions 775 to 1268 of the family's 1533-position model. The record is from RNAcentral.
AGUAAAUAGAUACCCGGGUAGUCCACGCCGUAAACGAUGUCGACUUGGAGGUUGUGCCCUUGAGGCGCGGCUUCCGGAGCUAAACGCGUUAAAGUCGACCGCCUGGGGAGUACGGCCGCAAGGUUAAAACUCAAAUGAAUUGACGGGGCCCGCACAAGCGGUGGAGCAUGUGGUUUAAUUCGAUGCAACGCGAAGAACCUUACCUACUCUUGACAUCCAGAGAACUUAGCAGAGAUGCUUUGGUGCCUUCGGGUAACUCUGAGACAGGUGCUGCAUGGCUGUCGUCAGCUCGUGUUGUGAAAUGUUGGGUUAAGUCCCGCAACGAGCGCAACCCUUAUCCUUUGUUGCCAGCGGUUAGGCCGGGAACUCAAAGGAGACUGCCAGUGAUAAACUGGAGGAAGGUGGGGAUGACGUCAAGUCAUCAUGGCCCUUACGAGUAGGGCUACACACGUGCUACAAUGGCGCAUACAAAGAGAAGCGACCUCGCGAGAGCAAGC